Molecule: non-coding RNA, 201 nt
Organism: Oryza meridionalis
Lineage: Eukaryota; Viridiplantae; Streptophyta; Magnoliopsida; Poales; Poaceae
Source: Rfam
UUUAACUGUAACCAUGAGUUUUCGUGCCUAAUUUUGAUCGUCCGUCUUAUUUAAAUUUUUUGUUAGUUAGUGUUUUUGUUGUUAUGAGAUGGUAAAAUAUGAAUAGUACUUUAUGCAUAACUUAUAUUUUUAAUUUUUGGAAAAAAUUUAUAAAUAAGACGGACGAUCAAAGUUUAGUAUAAAAACAUAACUACACUUAAA